UGGUAUUGAUUGGUGCUUGCAUCAUGAUUUACAUUUGAGUGAGUGGCGAACUGGUGAGUAACACGUGGGAAACCUGCCCAGAAGCGGGGGAUAACACCUGGAAACAGAUGCUAAUACCGCAUAACAACUUGGACCGCAUGGUCCGAGUUUGAAAGAUGGCUUCGGCUAUCACUUUUGGAUGGUCCCGCGGCGUAUUAGCUAGAUGGUGGGGUAACGGCUCACCAUGGCAAUGAUACGUAGCCGACCUGAGAGGGUAAUCGGCCACAUUGGGACUGAGACACGGCCCAAACUCCUACGGGAGGCAGCAGUAGGGAAUCUUCCACAAUGGACGAAAGUCUGAUGGAGCAACGCCGCGUGAGUGAAGAAGGGUUUCGGCUCGUAAAACUCUGUUGUUAAAGAAGAACAUAUCUGAGAGUAACUGUUCAGGUAUUGACGGUAUUUAACCAGAAAGCCACGGCUAACUACGUGCCAGCAGCCGCGGUAAUACGUAGGUGGCAAGCGUUGUCCGGAUUUAUUGGGCGUAAAGCGAGCGCAGGCGGUUUUUUAAGUCUGAUGUGAAAGCCUUCGGCUCAACCGAAGAAGUGCAUCGGAAACUGGGAAACUUGAGUGCAGAAGAGGACAGUGGAACUCCAUGUGUAGCGGUGAAAUGCGUAGAUAUAUGGAAGAACACCAGUGGCGAAGGCGGCUGUCUGGUCUGUAACUGACGCUGAGGCUCGAAAGUAUGGGUAGCAAACAGGAUUAGAUACCCUGGUAGUCCAUACCGUAAACGAUGAAUGCUAAGUGUUGGAGGGUUUCCGCCCUUCAGUGCUGCAGCUAACGCAUUAAGCAUUCCGCCUGGGGAGUACGGCCGCAAGGCUGAAACUCAAAGGAAUUGACGGGGGCCCGCACAAGCGGUGGAGCAUGUGGUUUAAUUCGAAGCUACGCGAAGAACCUUACCAGGUCUUGACAUACUAUGCAAAUCUAAGAGAUUAGACGUUCCCUUCGGGGACAUGGAUACAGGUGGUGCAUGGUUGUCGUCAGCUCGUGUCGUGAGAUGUUGGGUUAAGUCCCGCAACGAGCGCAACCCUUAUUAUCAGUUGCCAGCAUUAAGUUGGGCACUCUGGUGAGACUGCCGGUGACAAACCGGAGGAAGGUGGGGAUGACGUCAAAUCAUCAUGCCCCUUAUGACCUGGGCUACACACGUGCUACAAUGGAUGGUACAACGAGUUGCGAACUCGCGAGAGUAAGCUAAUCUCUUAAAGCCAUUCUCAGUUCGGAUUGUAGGCUGCAACUCGCCUACAUGAAGUCGGAAUCGCUAGUAAUCGCGGAUCAGCAUGCCGCGGUGAAUACGUUCCCGGGCCUUGUACACACCGCCCGUCACACCAUGAGAGUUUGUAACACCCAAAGUCGGUGGGGUAACCUUUUAGGAACCAGCCGCCUAAGGUGGGA
RNAcentral lists this ribosomal RNA (1428 nucleotides) under Lactiplantibacillus plantarum. RNAcentral describes it as "bacterial SSU rRNA". It matches the Rfam family "Bacterial small subunit ribosomal RNA". The record is from RNAcentral. Lineage: Bacteria; Bacillati; Bacillota; Bacilli; Lactobacillales; Lactobacillaceae.